UACUAUGUUACGACUUAUCUCAUCUUAAUAACGAGAGUGACGGGCGAUGUGUACACAUUUUAGAGCUAAAAUCAUAAAAAUAAUUCUUAUUAUUAAUUACUAUUAAAUCCUCCUUCAUAAAAUAUUUACAAAAAUUAAUCCGUUUAUAUUAUAAAUAUUGUAAUCCAUCUUCACUUAAUUAUUAACUGCACCUUGACCUGAAAUUUAAUUAAAUAAAAUUUAAAGAAAAUUUUACUCUAAAAAGAUAUUCAAUAAACAGCGAUAUACAUAUUAAAUAAAAUUAAGUAAGGUCCAACGUGGAUCAUCGAUAACGAGACAGAUUCCUCUAACUAGACUAAAAUACCGCCAAAUUCUUUAAGUUUCAAGAUCCUAUCUAAUACUACUCAAGUUUUAAUAAUUUACAUUCAAAAUAAUAGGGUAUCUAAUCCUAGUUU
This 434-nucleotide ribosomal RNA is filed under the name Caeparia crenulata. Its description in RNAcentral is "partial 12S rRNA". Lineage: Eukaryota; Metazoa; Arthropoda; Insecta; Blattodea; Blaberidae. The record is from RNAcentral.